CACUUUAUUUAAUUAAAAGUUUCAUCCCAAUAGUUAAGCCCAAGAGUAAAGAAAAAACGAAAUCAUACAAUUUCUUCAACAGGAACAAAAUGAACGACGCCGCCGACAGACUGAGACGUCGUAGAGUUUGUUGCAUAAGGCAAAUGUGGGAUUUCAUUUUGGACAAGGAUAUGUUUGAUGCCAUAGUUUGAUGCUUUAGAUGAUGAGUAUGAAGGAAUUGUGGUAAGAGCUCAUGUCCUCAUGUAUUCGCCUCUGCACACAAUUGUUGAUAAAAUUGGAAUCAUAUAUGCUUCUUCCAGUCACUAUGUUGAUAAAGACUUUGGAAAUGGAGUCCUGAAGAUAAACAUGAUCACAAUGAUCGAUUACCAACUUGGUCUUCCGUGAAUAAAGAUGGUGUGCAGUUUGCUACGGGCACAACGACUUGGACAUGGGAGGGUGAUGGACUGAUGGUGGUGUGCAAGAAGUUUGGUGGCGAUUAGGGACAGUAGUGUUAGGAUCUUUAAGUCCUCUAUUACAACUACUCCUAUUUGCAUACUAAUCAUGUUUUCCUUACAGUCAUUAAAGAUUGAUUUAA
Salvia hispanica is the source of this 574-nucleotide non-coding RNA. The record is from RefSeq and is a predicted model, not a curated record. NCBI's taxonomy places the organism in Eukaryota, Viridiplantae, Streptophyta, Magnoliopsida, Lamiales, Lamiaceae.